UACGAAGGGGGCUAGCGUUGCUCGGAAUCACUGGGCGUAAAGGGCGCGUAGGCGGUCUUUUAAGUCGGGGGUGAAAGCCUGUGGCUCAACCACAGAAUUGCCUUCGAUACUGGGAGACUUGAGUUCGGAAGAGGUUGGUGGAACUGCGAGUGUAGGAGGUGAAAUUCGUAGAUAUUCGCAAGAACACCGGUGGCGAAGGCGGCCAACUGGUCCGACACUGACGCUGAGGCGCGAAAGCGUGGGGAGCAAACAGG
RNAcentral lists this ribosomal RNA (254 nucleotides) under uncultured bacterium. RNAcentral describes it as "partial 16S ribosomal RNA". It matches the Rfam family "Bacterial small subunit ribosomal RNA", at positions 524 to 776 of the family's 1533-position model. The record is from RNAcentral.